GGGGGGUCAGUGCGAACGGGUGAUAACACGUGAGUAACCUGCCCCCUCACUUCUGGAUAACCGCCUGAAAGGGUGGCUAAUACGGGGUGUUCUGGCUGUGCCGCAUGGUGUGGCUGGGAAAGAUUCACUUUUGUGGUGUUUUGGUGGGGGAUGGGCUCGCGGCCUAUCAGCUUGUUGGUGGGGUGAUGGCCUGCCAAGGCUUUGACGGGUAGCCGGCCUGAGAGGGUGGGCGGUCACACUGGGACUGAGAUACGGCCCAGACUCCUGCGGGAGGCAGCAGUGGGGGGUAUUGCACAAUGGGCGGAAGCCUGAUGCAGCGACGUCGCGUGAGGGAUGGAGGCCUUCGGGUUGUGAACCUCUUUUCGCCGGUGAAGAAG
RNAcentral lists this ribosomal RNA (377 nucleotides) under Actinomyces israelii. RNAcentral describes it as "bacterial SSU rRNA". It matches the Rfam family "Bacterial small subunit ribosomal RNA", at positions 87 to 450 of the family's 1533-position model. The record is from RNAcentral. Lineage: Bacteria; Bacillati; Actinomycetota; Actinomycetes; Actinomycetales; Actinomycetaceae.